GACGAACGCUGGCGGCGUGCCUAAUACAUGCAAGUCGACAACAGCGGCGGACGGGUGAGUAACACGUAAGGAACCUACCGAUAAGCGGGGGACAACAUCCGGAAACGGGUGCUAAUACCGCAUACUUAUCGAUGGCCUUUCGGUCAAUUAGCUCGUUGGUGGGUUAACGGCCUACCAGGGCACUGAUGCAUAGCCGACCUGAGAGGGUAAUCGGCAAAAUUGGGACUGAGACACGGCCAAAACUCCUACGGAAGGCAGCAGUAGGGAAUCUUCCGCAAUGGGCGCAAGCCUGACGGAGAAACGCCGCGUGAGUGAAGAGGGUUUUCGGAUCGUAAAGCUCGGUGGUAAGAGAAGCGGUAUCUAACCAGAAAGCCACGGCUAACUACGUGCCAGCAGCCGCGGUAAUUC
This 408-nucleotide ribosomal RNA is filed under the name uncultured bacterium. RNAcentral's name for it is "partial 16S ribosomal RNA". It matches the Rfam family "Bacterial small subunit ribosomal RNA", at positions 28 to 526 of the family's 1533-position model. The record is from RNAcentral.